Molecule: ribosomal RNA, 301 nt
Filed under: uncultured bacterium
Lineage: Bacteria
Description: partial 16S ribosomal RNA
Rfam family: Bacterial small subunit ribosomal RNA
Source: RNAcentral
CAGCAGCCGCGGUAAUACGUAGGGUGCGAGCGUUAAUCGGAAUUACUGGGCGUAAAGCGUGCGCAGGCGGUUAUAUAAGACAGAUGUGAAAUCCCCGGGCUCAACCUGGGACCUGCAUUUGUGACUGUAUAGCUAGAGUACGGUAGAGGGGGAUGGAAUUCCGCGUGUAGCAGUGGAAUGCGUAGAUAUGCGGAGGAACACCGAUGGCGAAGGCAAUCCCCUGGACCUGUACUGACGCUCAUGCACGAAAGCGUGGGGAGCAAACAGGAUUAGAUACCCCAGUAGCCCUGUCUCUUAUACA